Non-coding RNA from Camellia sinensis, 2134 nucleotides. Lineage: Eukaryota; Viridiplantae; Streptophyta; Magnoliopsida; Ericales; Theaceae. The record is from RefSeq and is a predicted model, not a curated record.
UUAGUUUGGUCGGUUUCUUUGUUUUUUCCGACAUCCAAGGCAACGCGAUGAGCAAAUUCUUCGACUCAGUCACCUCCUUGUUCAGCAGCAAAGACCACAUUCCACGCUACGAUCUCAACAUCAUCCGAGUAAUCAUCUCCAAUUCUCCAAAAACCUAUCUUUCAAUCCACUCCCUUGUGAUUUUCUUGGAAAUAAUUGAACCCUGUUUUGGUUUUCCUCAAGGAAAUGUGGGCAGUGAAAAGGAGUAUCAGAAACUUGUGCGACUCACUCACCGAUUUCUUUAGCAGCGGAGACCACAUGCCUUGGAACGAUCCCGACACCAUUGCCGAACUGUUUUGUGACUAGUUUUGAUGGACAGUAUUCAUGUGCAUAUGUUAUUACUAGUGGGUUGUGAGAGAGAAGUUGCAGAGGCUGCAAAUGGUGUCUCGGAUGAACUAAAGAGUGAGAGAAUUAUGCGGUUAUCAUGGGCUCUUGCUCAUUCCAAACAACCAGAAGACAUGCAGCGUGGGAUAGCUAUGCUUGAAGGUCAGAACCAAUAAAUUCAAUGCUAAAUAAUUUUUCUUUACAGCAAGGAGUUUAUAGUUCUCAUACGAUCUUGAUUUCAAUCUUGUUUAAUUUUUCCACUCAUUCUGUUUAACAUCCUUCUGUUGUUUACACUUUUAUUUUACUCUCUUUGCCACCAAUCUUCACUGUAACUAUCAGCUCACCCUGAUCUUGUGCGUGCAUGCAUGUGCAUUUUUGUCUCUUUUUGUAUUUUUUUAACUUGAUUUGUUUGUUUCUUUAUUCAUGGAAAAAUGGAGAAAAAAAGCAACUUAAUAGCCUGUACACUUACUAAAAGUUGCAUGUUGUACACACAUUUUUGGAUGAUUAGUUUAGGGGCCAUCAAAAGUUUACUGCAUUUUGUGCUCCAUACUUGUUUAUGCUUGAGAAAUUCAAAUUAUUAGCUCAACGUAGCGAACCUCAAAGUUGUGGACUUGGUGCUGACCCCUUCUGUAAAGAGUUUGUAAACGAUAACUUUAGUACCUGAAGUAAUGACAACCAUUCCCUUCGGAGUCAUGAUUAGCUUUGUUUAUGCUUUGUGUUCUUGGAGGACUCACCGGUCUCGCCAGACUUGGCUCCUGCGUUCAUUAUGGAACUUCGGAACACAUCACGGACGUAGGGCUGUGGCUGUGGUUGUGGCUGUGGGGUCAAAUGGCUUUCAAUUACAACACUUAGCUGCACAUUGUGCUGGUCAGCAAUGGCCAUGGGUCGGUCGUGGCUGCUGCUCCCUCCACCUGAUUCUUCUCCUUGGACUAUACUCGUCCUUGUUGAAGAUAUCUUAUCAUUCAAAGUAACUUUGUCAGAAGCCUGAUUGGACAUUGCUAGCUCAUAAGAAUCAGAUACACAAUCUAGCAAGAGGAGGUAGUUGCAAAUGGAUUCUUGGCACGUAUCAGUACGAGGGAAGGCAGCGAAAUAUGUCUGAACGGCGGUCAAAAAAAUAGCAAACAGUGCAGCAAGGACAGCAAUGGCAGUCCAGGGGCUCCUAAAAUGGUCGCGCAUCACUUCAGCAAUCCAAGAUGCUAUCCUGGUCUUCCCUUUGCGGCUGUGGUAUUCUUCGAUACUCGACAUGACGCAAAAAUAACUCGUAUUUCUAUAAUCUGGGACCAACCCAGCAGCCAUUUCACUGAUUACUUUCACAACUUCUUCAUCGUUCCUGAGAAAAUUGGUGAUGAUACCUGCAUAUUUCAGCUCCUUAACAUCGUUAGCAGAAUCAAUGAUUGAAUCUAAAAAGCAUAUAUAAUUUGUCGCCCAUAAGUAAUUAGCUAAGGUAUUAGGGCAGUGUUCAUAGGCAGCCAAGUUGAGAAGCAAAGAAAUGUUUAUGUCGUCAAUGUUUAUUUUAGGAAGUAUCAGUAUCCCGCCAGUCCACGUAGACUUGAAUGCUGUAUAUGAUAAGCAAUCAUGAUAGGAAGGCCUGAAUCGAAUCCCCACCAUCUUAAGGUCCAUGGCCGAUCGACGCGGGUACUGAUGAUGAUGAAUAUUGCCACUGCCCUGUAUUUUUCUAUUCCUGGAAGAAAUGGUGUGGUCAUAUUUAAUAUGAUCCGCCCAUGUGUUUUCUAGAACUUGUUUACUUCCAUAAAUUUCUACAAGUUCCCAA